Molecule: ribosomal RNA, 522 nt
Filed under: Psectrogaster rhomboides
Lineage: Eukaryota; Metazoa; Chordata; Actinopteri; Characiformes; Curimatidae
Description: partial 18S small subunit ribosomal RNA
Rfam family: Eukaryotic small subunit ribosomal RNA
Source: RNAcentral
GAAAAAUAACGAUACAGGUCUUUUUCGAGGCCCUGUAAUCGUAAUGAGCGUAUCCUUAACACAUGGGUGAGGACCCAUUGGAGGGCAAGUCUGGUGCUAGCAGCCGCGGUAAUUCCAGCUCCAAUAGUGUAUAUUAAAGUUGCUGCAUUUAAAAAGCUUGUAGUUGGAUCUCGGGAGUGGACUGGCGGUCCGCCGCGAGGCGAGCCACUGCCUGUCCCAGACACUGUCUACCGGUGGCCCCCGGAUGCCCUUGGCUUGGUGUCCUUGGGUCCGAGGGUUUACUUUGAAAAAAAUAUAGUGUUCAAAGAGGGCCAGCAUUCUCGCCUGAAAACCUGAGCUAGGAAUAAUGGAAUAGGACUCUUUUUUUGUGGGUUUCCCUGAACCAGGGCCAUGAUUAAGAGAGACGGCCGGGGGCAUUCGUAUUGCGCCGCUAGAGGUGAAAUUCUUGGACCGACGCAAGACAGACGAAAGCGAAAGCAUUUGCCAAGAAUGUUUUCAUUAAUCAAGAACGAAAGUCGGAGG